This 413-nucleotide ribosomal RNA is filed under the name Ombrastacoides huonensis. RNAcentral's name for it is "partial 16S ribosomal RNA". It matches the Rfam family "Bacterial large subunit ribosomal RNA", at positions 1933 to 2548 of the family's 2925-position model. Lineage: Eukaryota; Metazoa; Arthropoda; Malacostraca; Decapoda; Parastacidae. The record is from RNAcentral.
GCGGUAUUGUGACCGUGCGAAGGUAGCAUAAUCAUUAGUCUUUUNAAUUAAAGGCUUGUAUGAAUGGUUGAACGAGGAAUAAGCUGUCUCUAUUAGGCUAGUUGAACUUAACUUUUAAGUGAAAAGGCUUAAAUGAUCUAGAGGGACGAUAAGACCCUAUAAAGUUUUACAUCACAUCUAUUAUAAAAUGGGUUGGAUAAAAAAGAUUUGCUAGUAGUUCGANUGUUUUGUUGGGGUGACAAGAAUAUAAGGGAUGUAACUGUUCUUUANNAAAACCAAAUAUAUUUGUUUAAGUGAUCUUGAAUUUUAAGUGCUAGAAUAAAUUACUUUAGGGNAUAACAGCNGUUAUUUUUUUUAANGAGUUCUUAUCAACAAAAAAGUUUGCNGACCUCGAUGUUGAAUUAAAGGNCUCU